This 317-nucleotide long non-coding RNA is filed under the name Fukomys damarensis (Damara mole-rat). RNAcentral's name for it is "lncRNA (ENSFDAG00000027550.1)". The record is from RNAcentral. Lineage: Eukaryota; Metazoa; Chordata; Mammalia; Rodentia; Bathyergidae.
GAGAUUUUUGAAAAUCUGGCGCCAAAUGUCCCGCCUCCGGAGGGGACCUGGUAUCCUAGAGAGUCGGACGGGGCUGGGCAGUGCCGGGCUCCAGGAUUUCCUGCCCACGCCCCGCACCCUCGAAGCAGACAGCGGGAUGCCAGGAACUUCCCCGCGCCCUGGGAUUGGAGUCAAUCCACCUAUACUGCAGGCUAAGAAGGGCUCAAGGUCAAGGCUUUGGGAUCCCCAAGCUGGAGCCAGGUGGAGACCAUGACUCCCAGUGUGCCUCGCUUGCACCCAGAGCCCGGAAACUACAAUUCCCGGCGGACCUCGCGCGG